CCCAGACUCUAUAUAAUUCUUGGCUCUGCCACUUGUAUGCAAUUACUUACUUUUAUGUACUCACCCUUUCAUUGUUUGUGUGCGUUUGCGAAAAUUCAGAAUUUCCACAGGCAGCAGGUGAUGCUAGACGUCGUGUUGGAGUUUCUUUUGUUUUGGAUUGUCUUAUUUUAUUGUACUCGCUUGCAUGCCAGGAUAUGAAAUUUUGUUUUAAGGAUUUCCAGAUCUAAUAGGUCUUCAGGAUAAUUUUUGUAUGUUUCAUUUUCUACGAAUGAUGGAUUACUUUGUGUUGAUUCCAACAGCUUUAUUGGAUCAAUUCCUUUUGCAUGUUUUGAAAUAAUUAUGGAUAUUUGUUUAUGUCUAAGUUUAAAUAUGACGACCUAAACCAUGUUUAUUAUGAGAUAUUAUAUUUAAAAGAAUGUAAACAAAAUUAAAGCACUUUUUACAAACUAUUGUUAUGAGAUUUAGGGUGUCAAGGAAAAUGACUCUGAAAU
Molecule: long non-coding RNA, 491 nt
Filed under: Medicago truncatula (barrel medic)
Lineage: Eukaryota; Viridiplantae; Streptophyta; Magnoliopsida; Fabales; Fabaceae
Description: lncRNA gene40217
Source: RNAcentral